UGGGGAAUAUUGCACAAUGGGCGCAAGCCUGAUGCAGCCAUGCCGCGUGUAUGAAGAAGGCCUUCGGGUUGUAAAGUACUUUCAGCGGGGAGGAAGGUGUUGUGGUUAAUAACCACAGCAAUUGACGUUACCCGCAGAAGAAGCACCGGCUAACUCCGUGCCAGCAGCCGCGGUAAUACGGAGGGUGCAAGCGUUAAUCGGAAUUAAUGGGCGUAAAGCGCACGCAGGCGGUCUGUCAAGUCGGAUGUGAAAUCCCCGGGCUCAACCUGGGAACUGCAUCCGAAACUGGCAGGCUUGAGUCUUGUAGAGGGGGGUAGAAUUCCAGGUGUAGCGGUGAAAUGCGUAGAGAUCUGGAGGAAUACCGGUGGCGAAGGCGGCCCCCUGGACAAAGACUGACGCUCAGGUGCGAAAGCGUGGGGAGCAAACA
RNAcentral lists this ribosomal RNA (427 nucleotides) under uncultured bacterium. Its description in RNAcentral is "partial 16S ribosomal RNA". It matches the Rfam family "Bacterial small subunit ribosomal RNA", at positions 355 to 774 of the family's 1533-position model. The record is from RNAcentral.